AAAGGAUGAAACGUUGGCGUAAAAGCCCACCACGUAACGCGCAACCGGACCGGCAAGGCAAGCCCCACCGUGAGCAAUGCCUAAUAGGGGCCUCUCGCGAGCAUGAUCGGCCUUCCCGAUAUCGCCGCAGGGACAUCUCAGCCCAGAGGCCCGGGUUGGCAGCUCGACCCCGCCGGCAACGGACGGGGCAGAUGAAUGGUCGCCGCCGGGGCAACCCGGCACAGAAUCCGGCUUACAGGCCAUCCGCGCGC
RNAcentral lists this RNase P RNA (251 nucleotides) under Paracoccaceae bacterium. RNAcentral's name for it is "Rhodobacteraceae bacterium (activated sludge metagenome) partial RNase P RNA component class A". It matches the Rfam family "Bacterial RNase P class A", at positions 149 to 367 of the family's 367-position model. From Rfam's summary of the family: Ribonuclease P (RNase P) is a ubiquitous endoribonuclease, found in archaea, bacteria and eukarya as well as chloroplasts and mitochondria. Lineage: Bacteria; Pseudomonadati; Pseudomonadota; Alphaproteobacteria; Rhodobacterales; Paracoccaceae. The record is from RNAcentral.